This 253-nucleotide ribosomal RNA is filed under the name uncultured bacterium. Its description in RNAcentral is "partial 16S ribosomal RNA". It matches the Rfam family "Bacterial small subunit ribosomal RNA", at positions 524 to 776 of the family's 1533-position model. The record is from RNAcentral. RNAcentral also lists the same sequence under 1 other name.
GACGAAGGUGGCGAGCGUUACUCGGAAUUACUAGGCGUAAAGCGUGGGUAGGCGGCCCGGCAAGUCUGUUGUGAAAGCUCCCGGCUCAACUGGGAGAGGUCAAUGGAUACUACCGGGCUUGAAUCGGGGAGAGGUCACUGGAAUUCCUGGUGUAGCGGUGAAAUGCGUAGAGAUCAGGAGGAACACCAAUGGCGAAAGCAGGUGACUGGACCCGUAUUGACGCUGAGCCACGAAAGCUAGGGGAGCAAACAGG